This 30966-nucleotide long non-coding RNA is filed under the name Hordeum vulgare. Its description in RNAcentral is "long non-coding RNA (HVUL_LNC007765)". The record is from RNAcentral. Lineage: Eukaryota; Viridiplantae; Streptophyta; Magnoliopsida; Poales; Poaceae.
UAACAGCAACAAACAAGUCUAUAUAUAGCUACCCCCAAAUCAUCUAUUCUACAAGCAAGCACCACAUAAUAAACCGUAACCACUUGUCGAGCAAGGAAAUAAACCAUGGGACAACAACAUUUUUUGCACAUAGGAAGUGAACAACCCUAGCAUGACAUAACCUUGGCUAGGUAGACAACCACGACUUAGAGCAACCGGAGGUGAAGAACGGAGCAGGGAAAGGAGCUCAAUAUUGGGGGUUUGUAGCCGAUGUCAUCAUCCACCGUUGUCACACGGUGUAGGAGGAUACCUCAGGAAGCGCCCAUUCCAUCGCAGACUUUGCUGCAUCAAAGCAAUAGUAAGUUAGUCACUCCGGCAGGCUUGAGUAAUAAACCAAUUGAUAGGCUGAUUCAUUCAUAUAAAAAAUCAUUGAGCAAAAUAAAUAUCAGACCAGACAAAAUUACAUAUUCACUAGAUCAUGAUUGACGCGCUUUGCCACGCCCGUCUAUUUUUUCAAUAAAAUGAUAGUAAUUUUUACAAAUAUAUAGACAUGGAAGAACUGAAUUCCUAUUUCCCGUGAAAGAACUUCUGCACUAUUUUUUUCCUGAGAGCACACAAAAGUAGGUCAUUUAUCAUUUUUCCUAAUUGUCAUCUUCUAUAUUUUCAGGUCAUAUUGGUGAUCCUCUUAGUUUCAUGUCUACGUAUCGUAAACCUUGCAAUAAAAUUGGAUCAUAAAUCUACAAUGUAAGCAUUUUCAGACCACCCACCAAAAGGUAAACUAUAGAAGAAAGGUAUGUACUAAAAAGUCCUCGAGAAUCUGAUAGCAACAAAUCAUAAUCAUAGCCACUAAUUGUGUAUUAAAGAAUGUAGCGCACACACAAAAGAUUUGCGAUAAGCAUUUAUUACUACACUUAUGGUGACACUGCUAAUGGGUACAAUAAGGCAGUAAUAGUAGUGAAAUGCAAAUAUGGUUAUAUCUAAGAAAAAAAGUGUCAGAAUAUGUCAUGGCCAAACUAAAAUAUAUCUGCAUAUCGCUCCAUGAUUUAUCGUUUCCAUAUUUAGAAAAUAGUGCAUUAUGUUCUUAUAAAUGCAAAGGAACCAUGAGUACCUUGGACACACCUUCUCAUGAUUGAGCCUCCCUCCUUGUCAUUAAUGUUUUCUUUGUUGCAGAGCUCUUGCACAAAUGACCAAAUUUCCACGGUGCUAUGUAAAAAAAAUUGAAGCCACCAUAUAAAUAGUGACACUCCCAAUGAAUGAAAAAAAUGUUUAAAAGGUUCAUUUUCAUGUAGAACGAACUAAGAUUUAAACUUUCUUCUUUUUUCAAUAAAAAUGUAAACAAUCAAGAUGUAGUUGAUUAUGUGAUCUUAAGAUUCAGUGAACCGCAUAUGUGAUCUUAAUAUUAAGUGAACUGCAUAGGUAGAUCACAUAACCAAUGGGUUCAACCCAUUUUUUAAGAAAUAAUGAGGCGAGGCUAAGCUGCUGAAAAGAAUUAAGAAAAAAAGGUUUAGGUUUCACAAAGGUUCUAAACUGAAAGAGAAAUAAUGAGUAAUAGUUAAAAAUGCUUCAAUGGUCUUGGUGUGAAGAACCGCACCAGAAACAUAUCAUUAGCAUACAUAGAAAUUACAUGUUGAUAGGUCAGGAGUUCCAUCUUUUCUCCUUUUCUAAGUACUGCCUGCCCUCAAGGACAUGCUCAAAUAUCCUUUACAAUUUGCAGUUUAGUAUAAUUUCAUGAUUAAAUUUUUGUAGUAACUAACAUAUUCUACGAGAGGAAAAAAAUCUGAAGGAAAUACGGAGACACGGUCACACAACAAUGAAUAGCACCAUGAACUGAAUGUAUCAAAAACAGUAAUGAUGACGAGUAGGCGCCAACAAUUUGCAAUACUUAUUGCCCCAUGAACUGUAUGUAUAAAAAACAAUAAGGAUGAUCCGUAGGCAUCAAGAAUUUUCAUUAAAAAUCCAUGAUAUUGAUGCAUAUAUCACAGGUCCCAAGUAUUAGGUUCAACUAAGAUUCAAAUUCCAGUAGAUUUUUGCACUUCUGUUCCAAUGAGCAAACGGAGAACAUAUAAGGUAUAUACUAAAACGAAGCUUAGUUGUAGCUGCUCUUUCGAAACUCCACAAGUAAUCAACUUCUGCAUGGGGUGACCCAACGCAACUACAUUAGCAUAGUUGAAAUAUUUUGCACACACUUGUACUACCUUACUGAAUCAUUGAAAUGGCUCAUAUCAUCGCAUAUAUAGAGAGGGAAGUACACACGUUUUUUAAGUCGGCCAACGGCACAACUGAUGCUGAAAAUUUGUUCAUCGAUAACAAAUAUUCCAAAUGUCCUAUUACAUCGUCCAAUAAAUAUGGCCAUCGAAUCCACGAACAGAAUCCCGAGUCGUCCCAAUGAUUCACGCUCGCAGAACCGACUGGAUUAGCAAACCAACCAAUCCCCACAGGAACAAGAGAAAAAUAGAGGAGCGCUCACACGGAGGCAACCGCCGCCAAGGGUGGUUAGAUCAAAGCAGAUGAGAAAGAGAAAUACAGAGAAGAUACACACCUGUUGGACGCACUCCAUGGGUGAUGGGGUUAUAGUCCUAGGGUAGGGUCAUAGGCCUGUCAUGUAGGUCCUACCCAAGGACUACCCCUCACAAAGGACAAGGCCCUUAGUCAGUUCCGACUGAAUUAAGGAGUCCCCAUCAUCUAGUCGGUAACAGGUCCUCGACCAUCCAGUCAGAGAUUAACAUUCGGAGGAUAUCAAGCUAACCGACUGGAUACCACUCGGUACAUCGUAACCCCCCUGGAGGAAACGGUCGUACGUUUCCAGGUGCAUUUAUUAGCAUUUAGGGCGUACGUUACCUGUAAUGUACACAUUCAAUCCCCACUACUCCACCCCUGUACCGGAACCAUUGUGGAGGGGAGCGCACUCUAUAUAAGCCACCCUCCCCCACUGGUAGAGGGGUUAGCAACUCAUUGUAUUCUAUAUUUCCACUCGACAACAAGCUCCCUGAGCAAUGAGACGUAGGGCUAUUACCUCCACCGCAGAGGGGCCUGAACUCAUACAACCUCGCCGUAGCUAAGGCGCUGCCCAUCCUUUUCGUACCCUACACAUCUACUGUCAAGCUUAUACCCACGACAGUUGGCGCCCACCUUGGGGCAGGCGUCUAAGCGACUUCCGGCGAGUUUGCGACUACUUCCUUUCGUCAUGUCGUCCGAUGGAGAUUCGAGCAUGGCUCACCAGAUCUUCUUCGGCGCUCUCUCCUUCAUCGUCGACGAUUCGGCGUGGCUUCAGGAUGCGCCCCUCGACGUCGAGGCGCUUCCCCGUCGCGGGGCUACGCACUUCUGUGCCGGCGCCCGCGGCAUUCUUCUUCUCCAGCAGUCGGCUCCGGUGUCAACCUACACCGCCGUCACGCGCCGCAUCAAGCAGUACCGCCGUCCGUGGCUCCAGCGUUGGGUGCAACACGCCCAGGCGCGCCAGAACGCAUCUUCACAAGUGGCGGUUCUAGAGUCAGUUGUGGUUGCUCCGCCGUCCCAGCGCUCGGGCUCGGUUCCGACUGAUUUUCCUUCCGAGUACGCGGGUCGCGGGCCUGCAGCAGAAGUACACAUGGCCAAUUCCCAUGAAGAUCCCCGUCAAGCUAGCCGGAACGAGCACGAGAUCGGCGAAGCGUCCGGCGCACGUCGUCCACCUCGCCGAUCUGCCAGUCGGCACACUCGGCGGAGCAACGUGGAGCUGUUCCGCACACCCCUCCUCAACUUGGUUGCAGCUGCCAAGAUAGCCGAUUCCCUCCAGCCCACUGAUUCACAGGCUGGUAGAGGGAUCGAGCAGAUCCGAGCCCUAUUGCACACGGCGCAGCAGCAGAAUUCGGCGGUCUCCCAGUCGCACAACAGGAUCUAUAAUAGUUAUGUUCAUGUGAAUACGCAUCGGUCGGUUCACAGCCCAGGUUCCCAUCAGCGGCACAGAGGAGGCAGCCGUUCCAUAAAUCACGAAGAUCGCCGCCGUUCACGCACCCCUCCGCGGGGUGGGCCCUACGGGCCCCGACCUCAUGAUGAUCGGCGUUCAGUCGGUGACACUUACGACCCAAGGCCCGACGCAAGAGGGCAUAUCACCCAGCGGAGGGUCGACAGGGUCAGGCCCACCGCGAUAGUCGCGAUAUCGACCGUCCGAGUGGAAGCAGGGCCACCGUUUCUGGUCCCGAGUGUUUCAGUCGAGCCAUCCGUUCGGCUGACAUCCCUCCCAACUUCCGAUUGGCGACGGGAAUUAGCAAGUUCACAGGAGAGUCCAAGCCAGAAACGUGGCUGGAUGACUACCGAGUGGCGGUCCAGAUCGGAGGAGGGGACGACCAUGUCGCCAUGAAGCACCUCCCUCUGAUGCUCGACGGCUCGGCGCGAGCGUGGCUGAACCAGUUGGCCCCCUCAAGCAUCUACAGUUGGGCAGAUCUGGCCCGAGUGUUCAUCAGGACCUUCGAAGGGACGUGCAAGCGCCCUGCUGGCCUUGUGGAGCUCCAGCACUGCGUCCAGAAGCAGAAUGAGCCCCUGCGUGACUUCAUCCAGCGCUGGACAACUCUCUAUCACACGGUGGAGAAUGUCACCGAGCAUCAAGUAGUCUGCGCCUCCAAGGCAGGCGUGCGGUACAGGGAUCUGUACCUGAAGUUCGGCCGAACAGGCGACAUCUCCAUGAGCAAGAUGAUGGAGAUAGCAACACGCUAUGCAAAUGGUGAAUAAGAGGACCGCAUCCGAAGUGGCAAGCACAAAACAGUCGCUGAUGGCGAUGGGGGCAACACUCGGAAGCAGAAGAAGAAAGCUCCGACCGCUCCGCAAGCAGAAGUUGCAGCCGUAACCAAUGCCAAGUUCAAGGGCAAAGGGGAGGCUCAGUUCACCCCCAAGAAGAAGUAGUUCAAUAACCCCAUCCUGGACCAGCCAUGUCCGGUUCAUACGAAGAUGGAUGAAGAAGGCAACCCCAUAUAUGCGAAGCAUACCACUCGACAGUGUCGCCUCCUGAUCCAGGGGUUCAGCGAAGGGCAACCGAGUGAGAAGGACCAUGAACAGGAUGAGGAGGAUAAGGAGGAUCCGUUCCCCCAAGUCCAUGCAACCUUGAUGAUCUUUGCUGACGUCGAGAGUAAGAGCCGACUGAAGCUGGUGAACAGAGAGGUGAACAUGGCCACCCCUACCAACCCCAAGUUCCUCAAAUGGUCUCAGACUGCGAUCACUUUCGACCAGUCGGAUCAUCCGGCGCAUGUACCCACCCCGGGGAGACAGGCUCUGGUCUUCGACCCAGUGGUAGAAGGAGUCCGACUGCGCAAAGUCCUCAUGGAUGGCGGCAGCGGCUUGAACAUCAUGUACGCCGACACACUCAAGGGGAUGGGCAUCCCGAUGUCCAAACUCAGCGAGAGCAGCAUGCAGUUCCAUGGAGUCGUCCCUGGACGGAAGGCCAAAUCACUCGGCCAGAUCGCGUUGGACGUCAUUUUCGGCUCCGACAAGAACUUCCGCAAGGAAAAGCUGACGUUCGAAGUGGUUGACUUCCAGAGCGCUUAUCACGCAAUUCUGGGUCGCCCAGCGUAUGCGCACUUCAUGGCCCGUCCAUGUUACGUAUACCUGAAGCUGAAGAUGCCAGGUCCGAAGGGUGUGAUCACCAUCACAGGCAAUCGGCAGCGGGCUGAAGAGUGUCUGCAGCAGGGAUCAAGAAUCACCGACCAGCAGAUGGCCGUCCUCGAGCUGGACGAGUACAAGAAAACAGUCGACCCCGCCGACCUGAUGCGCUUGAAGAAGCCAGCUUCAGAGUCUGCAUUUCAGUCGGCGGGAGAGACGAAGAAGGUCAGCAUCCACCCGACGGACGCCACUGCUACCCCGACGAACAUCUCCACCACCCUCGAUCCUAAAUAGGAAGCCGAGCUCACCCAAUUCCUCCGUGAGAACUGGGACAUCUUCGCAUGGAAACCCUCCGACAUGCCAGGUGUACCCAGGGAGUUGGCUGAGCACCGACUGCAAGUGGAUUCCACUGCUCGGCCUGUCCGAGAGCGCUUGCGCCGGUCCGCCGCGCACAAGAGGAAGGCAAUCGGGGAAGAGGUGGCCAAGCUGCUGGCAGCCAACUUCAUUCGCGAGGUUCACCACUCCGAGUGGCUCGCCAAUGUUGUCAUGGUGCCCAAGAAGGACAAGUCGCUCCGAAUGUGCAUCGACUUCAAGCAUCUCAAUAAGGUCUGUCCGAAAGACCAUUUUCCGCUCCCCCGCAUAGAUCAAAUUGUCGAUUCGACUGUGGGUUGCGAGCGUCUGUCAUUUCUUGAUGCCUACUCGGGCUAUCAUCAGAUCCGUCUGUAUGGUCCCGAUGAGUUAAAAACAGCCUUCAUCACCCCAUUCGGGUGCUUCUGCUACAUCACUAUGCUAUUCGGUUUGAAGAAUGCAGGAGCUACCUUUAUGCGCAUGAUCCAAAAAUGUCUCCUCGACCAGAUCGGUCAGAAUGUGGAGGCGUAUAUGGAUGAUAUCGUAGUCAAGUCACGCAAAGGUUCCGACCUGCUGACUGACUUGGCAAAAACAUUCGCCAACCUUCUAGGUACGAUAUCAAGCUCAACCCCGCCAAAUGUUCAUUCGGCAUUCCCAGCGGAAAGUUACUCGCUUUCUUCAUUUCCGAACGAGGGAUCGAUGUCAACCCCGAAAAGAUCGGGACCAUCGUACGAAUGGUGAGGCCGGUCAGAAAACACGAUGUUCAACGGCUCACAGGUUGCCUAGCGGCUUUGAGCAGGUUCAUCAGUCGACUCGGCGAAAAAGCACUUCCUCUGUACCGACUCAUGAAGAAAUCAGAUACUUUCGAGUGGACAGAUGAAGCCCAAGUCGCAUUCGACGACCUCAAAGUCCUACUUUCCACCCAGCCGGUUCUUACUGCUCCGCUUAGUAAAGAGCCCCUUCUUCUGUAUAUCGCGGCUACAAAUCAAGUCGUCAGUAAUGUUCUUACAGUCGAACGAGAAGAAGAAGGCAAAGCAUACAAAGUUCAACGGCCAGUGUACUACGUCUCCGAGGUCCUGACUCCUUCCAAGCAGAGGUAUCCCCACUAUCAAAAACUUAUCUACGGGAUUUACAUGACUGCGAAGAAGGUGGCCCAUUAUUUCCAAGACCACUCGGUGGCUGUCAUUUCUGAUGCUCCAUUGUCGGAAAUUCUCCACAAUCGAGACGCGUCAGGCCGAGUGGCGAAGUGGGCGAUGGAGAUGCUAUACUGUGACAUCAAGUUCGAGGCCAAGAAAGCUAUUAAGUCUCAAGCUCUGGCUGACUUCAUAGCAGAGUGGGUAGAUCAACAGCAACCGGCCCACAUCUACUCGGCCCAUUGGACAAUGUUCUUCGAUGGGUCCAAGAUGUUGAAUGGCUCUGGCGCUGGCGUUGUGAUCAUAUCGCCAAGGGGCGACAAGCUCAAGUACGUGCUACAAAUACACUUCGAUUCCUCCAACAACGAGGCAGAGUAUGAAGCUCUCCGCUACGGGUUGCGUAUGGCCAUCUCACUCGGCGUCCGUCGCCUGAUGGUCUACGACGAUUCGGAUUUGGUGCUCAAUCAAGUGAGGAAAGAGUGGGACGUCAGGAACCCCACCAUGACUACAUACUGCAAUGCAGUGAGGAAGCUUGAGAAGAAGUUUGAAGGUCUAGAACUUCACCAUGUUCCAAGACUGAAGAACCAAGCAGCUGAUGAGUUGGCAAAACUCGGAUCCACUCGGAGACCAGUCCCGAGUGACGUCUGCCUCGAGCACCUCCACCUUCCCUCAGUCAAAGAAGAUCCUUUCACAGAGGAGCCGGUACAACCAAAGAGUUCAACGGAUCCGACUGAAGUCGAUGUACCUGCUGUGGUUGACCUGGUCAUGGAGAUUCUUGCCGUCAUCCCCGAUUGGACUGUGUCGAUCAUUGCAUAUAUCCUGAGGCAGGAACUACCAGAAGACGAAGUCCAGGCCAGGCAGAUAAUCCGCAGGUCGAAGUCGUUCACUGUCAUUGAUGGCCAAUUGUACAAAGAAAGUAUCCCAGGCGUUCUUCAAUGAUGCAUCUCCCCAGAGGAGGGGCAGCUGAUUCUGGAGGAUAUUCACUCGGGGACCUGCGGUCAUCACGCUUCUUCAAGAGCAAUCGUCGCCAAGGCAUUCAGGGCUGGGUUCUUUUGGCUGCAGGCUAACGAGAUGGCUAAAGAUAUGGUUGACCGACGUGAGGGCUGCCAGUUCUACUCCAAUAAGUCCCACAAGCCGACGUCUGCGUUGAAGACGAUCCCUCUUGUGUGGUCGUUUGCUGUUUGGGGAUUAGAUACAGUCGGACCAUUCAAGACAGGCCAAGGUGGAUACACACAUCUGUUGGUGGCAGUCGACAAGUUCACGAAAUGGAUCGAAGCGAAGCCCAUCAAGAAGCUCGAUGCCUCAACAGCCGUCAAGUUUGUCAGGGACAUCAUCUUCAGAUUCGGUGUACCUCACAGCAUAAUCACGGACAACGGGACAAACUUUGACUCGGACAGAUUCAAAGAUUUCUGUACAAGCCAAGGCAUCCGAGUGGAUUUUGCUUCCGUAGCGCAUCCUCAGUCCAAUGGACAAGCAGAGCGGGCAAACGGACUUAUUUUGCAAGGUUUGAAGCCCCGACUCCUGCGAGAGAUAGGACAUGCCGCUGGCUCUUGGGUUAUCGAGCUACCUUCAGUGCUUUGGGGACUUCGCACAACCCCGAACAGAUCUACAGGGCGAUCACCGUUCUUCCUCGUUUAUGGAGCAAAAGCGGUCCUUCCGAGUGACUUGCUUCACAACGCGCCAUGAGUCGAACUCUUCUCCGAAGCCGAAGCAGAACAAGCAAGGCAAGACGGAGUGGAUCUUCUGGAGGAGGAGCGCGAGAUGGCACUAACUCUCUCAACCAUUUAUCAACAAAAUCUGCGGCGUUUUCAUGCACGCCACGUCAGAAGUCGCACGUUCCAAGCAGGCGACCUGGUGCUCCGAGUGGAUCAGCAAAGACCUCACAAGUUGGCUCCGGCCUGGGAAGGACCCUUCAUCAUCUCCAAGGUGCUAAACAAUGGAGCAUACAGACUCUACAACAUCGAGAGGGAGAUAGACGAGUCGCGUGCAUGGAACGGAGAUCUCCUAAAGCGCUUCUACACGUGACCGUCGACUGAAGCAAUGUAAAGAACAAGUAUUGGUGAAAUAAUAUAAAGCAGAUUGAGUUUUUUGCAGGUUCAAAGUUCUUCCACGGUCGCAGACUCCGGUCUCAAAAAAAACUUAGCAGCGAUCCAUAAUCGCCUAAGUAUUAACUUUCUCUGAGUGUGCACUUCACGUCACACUCGGGGGCUUAGCUGCGAUCCAGAAUCGCCUAAGUAUUAACUUUCUCCGAGUGUGCACUUAACGUCACACUCGGGGACUUAGCUGUGAUCCAGAAUCGCCUAAGUAUUAACUUUCUCCGAGUGUGCACUUAACGUCACACUCGAGGACUUAGCUCCGAUCCAGAAUCGCCUAAGUAUCAACCUUCUCCGAGUGUACACUUGACGUCACACUCGGAGACUUAGAGAAUUCCACGGACCCUCAAUGAGGCUCAUGCAGAUGUCAAAACAACUGACAUGUUCCGAAUGUUUGCCUUUGGCUUCACCAAGAAACGCCAAACAAAAACUCGAGUUAACAUUGCAACAGAAGAGCAAAAGAUUCGAUUCAAAGUUCAACCAAAGAUAGUGGCUCGGUGUGGAUCAAGCUUACCCACACCGAAACAAGAAUGUGACGGCCAACAGCAGUGGCCAAAGUUUCUUACAGAUAAACACUCGGCAUACCGAGGAUAAAAGUAUUUUUACGCAUCAUCUGGAUUAACACCAGGACUGGAGGGCUCUACAAACGUGUCCAGAUCAAUACCGUCGGCGAUGCAGGUGGCACUUUCAAGGAAGGUUUCCAUGAAGUCUUCGAAUCGAAGUUUCUUCGUGUUGGCAACCUUCAACGUCUUCAGUUUUUCCUCGCGCACCUCCUUGCAAUGGACUCGGACCAGGGACAGAGCAACAUCUGCACCACAACGGGCUGCCAAUUUUUUCCACGACUGCACUCGGUUCGGAAUCUCCUCUAGUCGGGUCAUCAGGUUCUCCAUCUCCUGCCGCGACUCAUCUUCUAGCCAAAGCUCCUUGUCGAUUCGGCCAACGACUUCUCUCAGUCGACCGAUGAAAGGACCAACUUUGCCCACGCGGAUGUGCGCACGGAGCAGAUCCCGAUUGGCGUCCUCGCCGAGUGGAACGUUCUCGAGAAUCGACCGCUCCACAUCAGCUGCUUCAGCUUCGGCGUCAAAGCAAAAAUCUGCGACAACAGGACAAGCACACAAUAAGUGCCGAGUGUGACGCGCAUAACACAAACACUCGGAAAAAGCAGGACUUACUAGCCAGACGCAUCAUCAUCUGCCGAGCCCAGUCGCUGACGUAUUUCUCCUAUGCUCUGCACCAUUUGUUCAGCACGUCCAUCUGACCCAUCAGAGCAGUCCUCUGUUUCCCCAUCUUUUCCACUUCCUCAGCCAACACCUUGUUCGCUUCCCGAGCCUGCUCCAAUGACUUCUCUCGUCCCUCCAGAGCAUCCUUCAUGCCAGCCAUUGCGAGCAUGGCCGCAUCAAGCUCAUCAGCGAGCUGAUUCCUCUCCGCCCUGAGAGUCUCAUAGGCUGUCCCCAUUUCACAAGUUUUCUGCCACCAAACACCAAGGGACAAUCAGAAAAUUCAACAAUAAAAGUCUAAGUUCUUCAGACCCCUGCCGACGCAAGCAGUCGACAGCGGUCUCGGGGACUACACCCAGUGGGUUCACUAACAGUGACCCCACUGGCAUGCAACUCAAGCAGGCCCGCCCUAUUGAGCUGCAUGUUACCACCUACGCCUACGAGGCCAAUACUACCCGACCUGAGUACAACUUACUCUCGGAGACUCUUAUAGUAAGUGCACUCCGAGUGCCACAACUGCUAGCAGUCGGUCAUGUUAUAUACAGACCUGACCAAAGCAAAGACAAUAUGUAUAAAGACAACUGCCGGUGCAAGCACUCGACAGAAGUCUCGGGGACUACACCCACUAGGUUCACUCAGAGUGAACCCAUUGCAAACAACAGCUGCUAUCCAAAAACACCCAGUGGGUUACAAGAGAAAAGUAAAUACUUACUAGCCCACUUACUCGGAUAUCAUCCCGCAGCUCCAAGCUCCGCUGGUACAAGGACGCGACGGAGUCGUAGGCCCUCUUGGCUUCCCCAGCCAUCAGCUCCGCCUGCACCAUGGCUCCCAUGGUCGCUCCCACCUGCUCCUCCGGGAGACGCUGGAUGUUGAACUCGACAUUCGACGAGCCUGGCAUCGUCAGAAGUUCCUGAGGCAUCCCGAGGUCCGUUCCAGUCGGCACCUCAACCACCAGCGCCGGUUCAGUCGGCGGCAGCGCCUCAGUCGGCGGCACGUCGGCGGCGAGAGCAGCAACAGACGGAGCAGCCUCAAGAACGGGCUCCGCAGCCCGUUCAAUUCUCCCCUAAUCGCCCUCGUCCACGCAAAUCGCCCUUGAUAGACCGAACGACGCAAGAUCUUAGAAAAAGAAAGAGGCAGAACCUAUGAUAGAACAAAACACUCAAAGUCACUACAACACACCUGGCUGGGACAAGACGACGUUGUCCGUGUCCAUGAGGUCAUCCUCCUGGCGCACCGGAGAGGUGGCAGAAGUAGCGACUCUGUCGAGUGAAAUCCAUUCGACCAAUGAACAGGGAUUCACUCGGAUAUCAGAAGAAAUUAGAAGAUCGAUACACUUACGUGGAGGUGACGGGGACAGCAACCCUCAUCCGCGGCAGAGCCUUCCGAGGUUUGGACCCACUCGGUUUGGCCGCCUUAGAAGACUGACCCGCAGGCUCAGCGGCAGCGUCCCUGGCCCUUUUGGUGCUCCGAGCGCUCGGGACCACCGGGGCAGUGGGCGGAGCACUCGAAGAUGCUAGAGGGGCCGAGGGAACGGCAGGCUCGUGUCGGCGCUUGGUCCGAUGCUCUGUUUGCGGAGGCGGCGAGUCCUGCUCUUCGUCUUCCUCCUCUUCCUUGCUAGUCUCUUCCUCCGACUCCCCGCUGUCGGAGACAUAUUCAGCGCUCUCCACGCUGCCCUCCUGGCUGCCUUCCUCCUCCUCGGCCGGGUUCCCGUUCGAGACGGGAGAAAACCAGUUGGUCCACUCCUGCAUAAAAUUCAGUCGGCGACAUCAGACGUCACACAGAGAUUCAAGCAAACGAUAAGAUUAAGACAGUUAGGAGCACUCGACAAGUGCCACUCACCUGAUUCGGAGGAGGAUUAUCCGUGCAGAAGGGCUUCACUCGCCGAGAUCCUUUGGGAUUCUCGCAGGGGCCUGUGAUCUGGAGCACCCACGAGGUCACCCUCUCCUCAGUCACGCCCACAACGUUGGUCCGAGUGGAAUCCUCGGGCCCCGUAUAAUGCCACAUGGCAUGGUCGCGAGCCUGCAGGGGUUGGAUACGCCGACCGAGGAAGACCUCCAGCAAGUCUAUGCCAGUGACCCCCCCCUCCUGACGACAUCUACGAGCGCCCCGACCAGAGGCUGGAUGUCGUUCUUCUCCGCCCUCGUGAGCGCGAGUUGCUUAGGUGGGGCGGGCCGAUCUAAGCUAAAGGGAUGCAGCCCUGUCGAAGCAUUCGGAUAGGCGAUAUCCUGGCAAUAGAACCACGUCGACUGCCAGUUCCUGACCGACUCACUUAGCUGAAGGGCAGGAUAACUGCUCCGACUCUUUUUCUGGAAACCUAGACCCCCACAGAGCUGGAGAAGAUGUGUUUUAUCAUCCGACUGGCUAAGUCGUUUGAUGGUCUGGGAUCUAGCAGAAAAUAUGUGCUUGAACAGCCCCCAAUGGGGAGGACGGCCAAUGAAACACUCGCACAGAACUAUAAAGGCAGAGAGAUGGGCAAUGGCGUUCGGGGGAAAGUGGUGAAGUUGUGCCCCGAAGUGAUUCAUGAUGCCCUUGAAGAAAGGAUGCAGGGGCAAGGAGAAACCUCGAUAGACGUGGCUGAGAAGCAAGACGCGCUCCCCCUCCAGGGGCGCCGGCUCGACCUCGUUCUCCGUCGGUAGCCUCCAAGUCUUGUGCACGAUCAUCCCGUGCUCGACCAGCUGCAGCAGAUCCCCCUCCGUCACCGUGGAGGGGAGGAAGUCGCCUUGAAUCCACCCCAUCGGCAGCGGCCGCUGCCGCCACUGAGCAGGAGCCGCCGCCUUCCCCUUCUUCUUCCUCGCCUCCAUCUUGCUCGUCUGACCCUUGGUCAUGGCGGAAACUGCGAGCCCGCGAGAGGAAGGGGGAGGGAAGAGUGUAGAGGCGCUGAAGGUGGCGAGAGAGACGGAGCAGGCGAAGGCAAGAGAUUCGGCAAGCGUAACGAAGAACCCUCGCCGCCGAGAUUUAAGUAGGGCUCCGACUGGGUCGCUGGCGGGUGGGCCCGAAACCUUAUCCCCCGACCCACCGCAGCGAUAUUAGUGGAGAGGUUGAAGGCGCAAGAAUCGAGGCGUCAGGCGCUACUCGAGCGCGAUGGCGUCAUCCCCGCUGAGCGCGCGGAACCCAAAAUUUGAGAUCCCGGAAAAUCCGUCGCUGUCAGUUGACCGGUCGCGUCAAAAGAUGCCGCAGAAGCACUCGGCUUCCGACAGUCUGUUUCACGAGUACUUCCACUCGGAUCGUUGGUUAGAAGAGAUAAAAUGGAUUGAGGCAAGCAACGCCCAAGCCAAACCCGCUCCAGUCGGAUCCAAACUUCAAGCAUCGCUUCGUCGUUUCAACCCCAAUCCAUUCGGGGACUAAUGAUGGGGUUAUAGUCCUAGGGUAGGGUCGUAGGCCUGUCAUGUAGGUCCUACCCAAGGACUACCCCUCACAAAGGACAAGGCCCUUAGUCAGUUCCGACUGAAUUAAGGAGUCCCCAUCAUCCAGUCGGUAACAGGUCCUCGACCAUCCAGUUGGAGAUUAACAUUCGGAGGAUAUCAAGCUAACCGACUGGAUACCACUCGGUACAUCGUAACCCCCCUGGAGGAAACGGUCGUACGUUUCCAGGUGCAUUUAUUAGCAUUUAGGGCGUACGUUACCUGUAAUGUACACAUUCAAUCCCCACUACUCCACCCCUGUACCGGAACCAUUGUGGAGGGGAGCGCACUCUAUAUAAGCCACCCUCCCCCACUGGUAGAGGGGUUAGCAACUCAUUGUAUUCUAUAUUUCCACUCGACAACAAGCUCCCUGAGCACUGAGACGUAGGGCUAUUACCUCCAUCGUAGAGGGGCCUGAACUCAUACAACCUCGCCGUAGCUAAGGCUCUGCCCAUCCUUUUCGUACCCUACACAUCUACUGUCAGGCUUAUACCCACAACAAUGGGCGUAAACUCGAGCCGCCCAUGAUGUCGGUCAUAUCCUGUAGCCAGUGGGAGAAGGUCCACAGGCCCGCGCACCCUCCCCCGCGCCCAGCCUCAUUGUAUCGAACCCCCUCCACAACCUUGCACAUUUCCCAGUAGAGAUGGGGUGCUACAUGUUGCUAAACAAAGGAGGGGAGGAUAUAGAAUCAUGGCCACCAAAUGGGAGGGCAGGAACCACACGUCUUGCACCUGUGCGCCUACAAAUCAAAUCGAACCAAAACAAAAGAACAACAUCAUCAGCCUACCAAAUCAAACCGAAACGGAUGAACCAACAGAGGAAGGAGAGGGAGAGAGAGAGGGCCAAGAGACCAUGCCGUCGAUGGACAGCGUGUGGCUACGGGGUGGAUGUGGGCGGUGCCUGACCUGCUCGAGAAACUGGGGAGGUCGAAGGUCGGGGUGGGGAGGCGGCGAUAGUGGGGAGGAGAGGUCACCAAAUGUGGAGAUGGGGCCCGCCUGAGGUGGAUCCGACGCUGGGAGCAGAGGAGACCGACGAUGGCGGUGCUGGCCGAUCUGGACGAGCCAUGGCUGCCGCCUGACCUGCUCUCGAGGACCUCGAUCUCCGACGCCAUGGCGGUAUCGGGCUCUCUGGACUGGGUCAGGGAGGGAGGGGAGGGGGGUUGGAGAUGCUGGACGCGGAGGUGGCCCGAGGGACCUUGUCGCGAGGGGCGUUUGUGACUCCGGUGGAGGGGGAGCCGCCAGGAGGGGGGAGCCGCGGUGGUGGUGGUGUGGCAGCGCGGGAAGGAGAGGCAGAGAGGUGUGGAUUGGGGAGAGAGAGUGAGGAUCGGGGGAGAGGGCAGAUGGGGGUUGGGGAGAUGGGACGCCAAUCGUUAGUGGUUGUCCUCUUUGUCGUCUGCCUGUGUAUCAAGCUGAAGGCAAAGAGGUCAACGCAGUAGACAAAGGGGGUGUGUGCAGACGGUAAAGAGGCCCCUGAUGGCAGCCUGUACCAUCUUUUCCACUAGCCCGUGCUUUGCCAUCAGCCCGGUCCAUUUUUGCCAUCCGUCAGCCAACAACAAAGAAUGCACUGAUGGCAAAGAUUAUCUUUUCCAUCAGCCAUCUCUUUGUCGUCUGUUUUUUGGCACCUAGCGACAAAGAGCUUCUUUGUCAUCUGCUUGCACACGGAAAAGAUCACGCAGAUGGCAAAAUCUCUGAUUCCUGUAGUGAUAAUACCUCACCCUUUUAAUAGUAGUGGCUUUCCUAUGGACUCAAAAGUGAUUUCCCACAAAUACAAUGUAGAGUCCUCUUGCUUGAAGCUUGAGCCAAUCAUAUUCCUUUCCUUGCAUCAAGGGGCUUCUCCUCACAAUCCUCUAGCCAAUGCAUCUUUGAACUGUUUUGAAAUAUACUUGGAUAAGAUCAUUAGUUCAAUGGUACAUACGUUGUUAUUAAUUACCAAAACCGCCUUAGGGAGCAAUUGUGCUUUCAAUCUCCCCCUUUUUGGUAAUUGGUGACAACAUAUAGAUCAAAGCGUCGACAAAAGAUAUAAUCAAUGAUUAGAAUUGUCGCUUUGAGAAGUAUGUGAAAAGCAAGAGCUCCCCCUGAAUUUGUGCAUUAUUUUAAUUUGCAUUUGAAUGCAAAUGCACAAACGAUUAGGAUCACGGGUCACUCUUCCAUGUCACAUACAUCUUGGUGGUGCGCAUAAAUGAUAUGAAUGAAUAGUAAUGCACCUAACACCAAACAAAUAAGUGAAUGGUCAUCAUGGAUAGCUCAAAAGUUUAACGCAGUAGCAUCAACAAUCACAACAUAUCAUCAAACACGAAAGUUUAAGUCAUCCAAAAGACCAAAAGUUUUGUAAAACCAAACGAGAGCAAAUAAAAUGCAAAGCUCUCUCUCUCUCUCGAAGCCCUAAUUGAUCUAUACACUUCUCUCCCUUUGGCAACAAGUUACCAAAAAAUUUAAAGGCUUAGAACUAAGCAUCACUGUGGGCUCGAUCUCCUCCGGUGGCAUUAGAUGGAGUGGACAAGAGAGCAUCGACGAAGGCUUCUGCAGAUGCCCCUGGAGCUGGAGGUGUAGACACUAGAGGUGCAGAAGCUGGAGCUGAAGCUGAAGGUGUUGAGGCUUGAGCUGAUGAAGUUGGUCUUGCUUCCGGCACUAGCACAACUGCUGACCUAGUUUGGGUCCUGAACUACGUAGUCGUGGGAAAAUGCGACUCUUCAUCAUCAUUGUUGGAAUGAGUAAUCUACACAUAAUCAACUUCAUGCUGGAGUUGCUGAACAAUGGUAGUCAAGUCCGUCACUUUGACAUCCAGGUCAUGGAAUUUUCUCUCCACGAUCCUCUCAAGGAUCUUCUAGUAAAGCAAGAUCUCUGAAAUUUUCUUCUCCGUCCCUUGGAUGAUGCUGACAAGAAAGGACAUCUUCUCCGCUAUAGUUAUGAGCUGUGGAGCUGGAGCAUCUCUAGCUGCCUCUGCCUCCGCUGCCUCUACUGCCUCGCGUGCUGAAGCUGAGUCAGGAUGGGUCGAGUCCAUCACAACUACAUUGUCCUCGAACUCUAGCUGAAGUGGCAGGUGCAGACGAUCAAUUUGAUAUGGAUGCUUGCCAAUCUUGGCAUUGAUGAGCAUCUGAAUAUAAGGUGCAUACCCACAAGAUCUCUUCUAAUCUGCAAUAGUCCUCCUGAUAGUCUCUACUAUCAAGUCCAUCACUGUGAACCGGGUGUGGGUGUCUAAGUGGUGUAGCAUGUUAAUGGAAUAACCUCUGAUCAUCUUGUCAUCUCCUGAUUUAGGCAUCAGAGUGUGUCUCAUAAUGGUGUUUGUUGUAGGUAUUCCUGCUUGCAGAAAAUAAACAGAGCCAAAUUGAUGUGUCUUCACAUAGUGAUGGGGCACUGGAUUGUACCUGUUUGCCAUUGUGUUGUGAUUCAUCUUGGAUUCUGAGUACACAUCCAAAUCUCCCUCUUGUGCCUUUGGGGCACCAAUGAUAGUGGCCCACUCAUCUAUAGUAGAGUCAUACAAGUGAUCUUCCAUCAUCCAUACUAUCCUUCCGUCGGGAUGAAAAUGAGAGUUUAAUAAAAUUGCAUGAUCAUCUCAUCGUUCCAGGCAGUUGUCUCUCUACCAACAAAAUCUUCAAUGUCGACUAGCCUGAAAUUCUCUCUCACAUGAGGAAAGUAGUCCUCGUUGGCCUUGAUGUAAUACCAAUCAACAUAUCGCAUGUCACUGACUGCGGGACUCUUGUCUAGCAACACUAUCUCAUAAAAAUCUUGUUGCUCCUUAGUGUGGAAACGAAGAUCAACAACAGUUCUUCUCUUGAUAGCAUAUGGAUCUAUAGUCCUCCACUGCCUCAAACCUUGACCCCUUCUCUUCUUCGUGUCCUCAGCAACAGGAUGAGCAGCAUUGUGCAAUUGCAAGUGAUCUCUUAGUUUCAUCGGCACAGAUACAUCUUGUUCCUCCUCUACAGUAAACUCUCUGGAUGCAGAACCUUUGUUCUUUUCUACUUCAGGUAUAUCAUUAGUAGUCCUCUUGGGAGCUACUAGCUUCUUAGGUGUUGAAGGUUUGGGUGCAUUCUUCUUUGGCAUAGCAUCUGACAUGAGCUCCUUCUUAUUAGCAGGAGGGGCAUCAGCUGGAAUCUCUUCCUCCUCUUCAUGAGCAGCUUCUACUGGGUCUUCAUACAUAUAAGUUGGCCUUCCAACAACAUGCACUACUCUCUUCCUGGCUCUUUUCUGACGUGGCUUCUUAGAUUGCCUGGAAGAAGUGCCUUCAAGGGUGAUCUUCAUCCCUUUCCGAGUUGCCUUUGGAGCUCUCACAUCAGUAGGUCUGUCAUACUCUUUUCUCAUUGUAUUUCCGAGAGUGACCUUCUCUUUCUGCUUCUCGAGAAUAAUCUCAUGUGGGAUAAAAUCAGCAUCUUCCUUAUCUGAAUUAAGCUUAUUCCUAGACCUGGCGGCUGCCUUGGGUAAUCCAUGAGAACUAGGUGUACCUGGGUCAGAAGCUGUCGUCUUUGGACUAGUGCAUGAAUCCAUCUCAGCAUUGGUCUCACUGAAGUUGUUCUAACUAUCCUCUGAUCCUCACAUACUGACAAAAAGCCAAGCAGACCCUGUGAAAAGAGUUAGAAGAGCUGGAGUGGAUGAGCAUCACAAAAAUCAGAAGUUUUUGAAAGUUUCAAUUCUGAAAAAGUUAGGUUUAUCUUUCUACAAAAAGGGAUAUCGGUUCCACCGAGACAAAAUUUUCAGAGCCACCGAGACUGACAUUCUCUUUAACAGAAACUUGGCAACCCUUUUCGGUUUCACCGAGAUACUGUCCCCAGUAGCCCUAAAACCAAAACUGGUAGGACCAAUUUUGCUGACUCGGUGACACCGAGAUUCGGUUUUGCGGACUGUUAAUCCUAAGUUCUUCUUCGUUCUCUAAUCUAUGGGAAAUUCUUUUGGAUGGAGUCAUUGCAAUCAUGGAUAGAUUUAAUCUAGCCCUAUUUGCGCAAGAUUCGAAGAUGGGAGCGCAAAGAGGGGUUGGAUCCAUACCCUAGUGCAGUGAAGGAUCUGCUAUAGCGACGACGACGAUGUUGGUUCCCGUCGACGACGAGGACUCCGGUGGUGAGGGCGCACGGGAGAAACAAGGCGAUGUCGUGAGGAUUAGGGCACGACAGCAAGGAGGUACGGGAGGCGAAGUUUGAAGGAUUAUUUCAAACGUCGGGUUCGCGGAGAAUAUAUACCCCCUCGCUGUCGGUGACACUAAGUUGGAAUUUUUGGUGCCAUCGAGUUCCAUAACUACCAGUUGACACGGAAACUCGGUGAGGCCGAAAAGAACCAAUCGACGGUACCGAGAAUGGAAAACCUCAUCAACCCUAGGCUUCGGUGGGACCGAGUUUUUGAGGUUGGUCAUAUCGAGAUGCUUUUGGGAGGUUUUGGAAGUCAUCCCUUGUCGAGAUGGAUCUUCCUAUUCGAUCCUAACGGCGUUGGAACAGGGCACUGUUUGUCGGAAUGGAACCGGGACAGCGCGAGGAAGGAGACGGUGGGAGGAGCCCGAACAGGGGCUCACCGACAUUGACGAGAGGGCCGGUGAAGCCGGAGUUCUCAGGAUGCGGAGGAGACGACGAGGAGGAGGACGAGGCGGUGACGGUGGCGCGGUUCCGGUGAGGAUGGUGCCGGCGAGGAGAGCUGGCCGGAGGGUCGCCGAGAGGGGCCCCGGUGAGGAGGGCCCCCCGGGGAUAGAGCCGCCAAGAGGGGUGAGGCCCGCGAGAUGGGGUUCCUGGGGCCGACGGGGUCGAGGUAGGGGUCGCCGGCGGGAGGAAACGUAGGGGGGUCAAUCUCUGGAGUAGGAGCCCGACGAGAGAUGGGGUUGGGGCCGAUGGAGAGAUGGGGCUCGGUCUCGGUGGGAGACCGAGGGAGGGGCUGCCGUGGGGAGUUGCCGUGGCGGGGAGUGGACGAGGAGGGAUCGAGGAUCUGAGGCUCUCGGUCCCUCGGCUCGGUGGGGGUAGGUGGGAUGGAGCGAGCGGGAAGGGGCUCGAUGGGGGGGUUCGGGUGGAUGGGGUCUCGUGGUGGGUAGCAGGGGGGCUCGAUAGGGAAGGAGCCCGGUAGGUGGGGCUCUGGUUUUGGGACCGAGAGAGGGAGAGGUGAGUUUCUCUCAUGGGGAUUAGGUGGGGAUCCUGGUGGGGGGCUGACCGAGAGAAGAGACCUCGGUCUCGUGGGUUGGUGGGGGUUGUUGGGUGUCUCGCGGGNNNNNNNNNNNNNNNNNNNNNNNNNNNNNNNNNNNNNNNNNNNNNNNNNNNNNNNNNNNNNNNNNNNNNNNNNNNNNNNNNNNNNNNNNNNNNNNNNNNNGUGUAAGUUGCGGGAUCUCGUAUUAUGGAACGAGUAAAGAGACUUGCCGGUAAACGAGAUUGAAAUAGGUAUGCGGAUACUGACGAUCGAAUCUCGGGCAAGUAACAUACCGAAGGACAAAGGGAAUGACAUACGGGAUUAUAUGAAUCCUUGACACUGAGGUUCAACCGAUAAGAUCUUCGGAGAAUAUGUAGGAUCCAAUAUGGGCAUCUAGGUCCCGCUAUUGGAUAUUGACCGAGGAGUCACUCGGGUCAUGUCUACAAAGUUCUCGAACCCGUAGGAUCUGCACACUUAAGGUUCGACGUGCUUUUAUGCGUAUUUGAGUUAUAUGGUUGGUUACCGAAUGUUGUUCGGAGUCCCGGAUGAGAUCCAGGACGUCACGAGGAGCUCCGGAAUGGUCCGGAGGUAAAGAUUGAUAUAUAGGAAGUCCUGUUUUGGUCACCGGAAAAGUUUCGAGCUCAUCGGUAGUGUACCGGGAGUGCCGGGAGGGGUGCCGGGGACCAUCGGGAGGGGUGUAACGCCCCAAGGGGUCUCAUGGGCUAUGGGAAGAGAUAAACCAGCCCCUAGUGGGCUGGAAUAAGUUCCCACUAAGGACCAUAAGGUUUGAGAAGGAAAAAACACAAGGUGGAAAGAGUUUCCAAGUGGGAAGGUGGAAUCCUACUCCAAGUAGGAUUGGAGUAGGACUCCUCCACCUCCAAUUUCGGCCAAACCUUGAGGGUUUGAGGCUGCCUCUUCCCUCCCCCUCCCUCCUAUAUAUACUGAGGUACUAGGGCUGAUUUGAGACAACUUUUGCCACGGCAGCCCGACCACAUACCUCCACGGUUUUACCUCUAGAUCGCGUUUCUGCGGAGCUCGGGCGGAGCCCUGCCAAGAUUAGAUCACCACCAACCUCCGGAGCACCGUCACGCUGCCGGAGAACUCAUCUACCUCUCCGUCUCUCUUGCUGGAUCAAGAAGGCCGAGAUCAUCGUCGAGCUGUACGUGUGCUGAACGCGGAGGUGCCGUCCGUUCGGCACUAGAUCGGAGCGGAUCGUGGGACGGAUCGCGGGACGGUUCGUGGGAUGGUUCGCGGGGCGGAUCGAGGGACGUGAGGACGUUCGACUACAUCAACCGCGUUCACUAAGACUUCUGCUGUGCGAUCUAUGAGGGUACGUAGAUCGGAAAUCCCCUCUCGUAGAUGGACAUCACCAUGAUAGGUCUUUGUGCGCGUAGGAAAAUUUUUGUUUCCCAUGCGACGUUCCCCAACAUUGGCAUCAUGAGCUAGGUUCAUGCGUAGAUGUCUUCUCGAGUAGAACACAAAAUUUUUUGUGGGUGGUGAUGUGUGUUUUGCUGCCCUCCUUAGUCUUUUCUUGAUUCCGCGGUAUUGUUGGAUCGAAGCGGCUCGGACCGACAUUACUCGUACGCUUACGAGAGAUUGGUUUCAUCGCUACGAGUAACUCCGUUGCUCAAAGAUGACCGGCGAGUGUCAGUUUCUCCAACUUUAGUUGAAUCGGAUUUGACCGAGGUGGUCCUUGGAUGAGGUUAAAUAGCAAUUCAUAUAUCUCCGUUGUGGUGUUUGCGUAAGUAAGAUGCGAUCCUACUAGAUACCCAUGGUCACCACGUAAAACAUGCAACAACAAUUAGAGGACGUCUAACUUGUUUUUGCACGGUAUGCUUGUGAUGUGAUAUGGCCAACGAUGUGAUGUGAUAUAUUGGAUGUAUGAGAUGAUCAUGUUGUAAUAGUUAAUAUCGACUUGCACGUCCAUGGUACGGCAACCGGCAGGAGCCAUAGGGUUGUCUUUAAACUAACAUUUGUGCUUGCAGAUGCGUUUACUAUAUUGCUAGGACGUAGCUUUAGUAGUAAUAGCAUGAGUAGCACGACAACCCCAAUGGCGACACGUUGAUGGAGAUCAUGGUGUGACGCCGGUGACAAGAAGAUCGUGCCGGUGCUUUGUGAUGGAGAUCAAGAAGCACAUGAUGAUGGCCAUAUCAUGUCACUUAUGAAUUGCAUGUGAUGUUAAUCCUUUAUGCACCUUAUCUUGCUUAGAAUGACGGUAGCAUUAUGAGGUGAUCUCUCACUAAAAUUUCAAGACAAAACUGUGUUCUCCCCGACUAUGCACCGUUGCGACAGUUCUUCGUUUCGAGACACCACGUGAUGACCGGGUGUGAUAGACUCAACGUUCACAUACAACGGGUGCAAAACAGUUGCACACGCGGAACACUCGGGUUAAGCAUGACGAGCCUAGCAUGUGCAGACAUGGCCUCGGAACACAUGAGACCGAAAGGUCGAGCAUGAAUCGUAUAAUUGAUAUGAUUAGCAUAGAGAUGCUUACCACUAAAACUAUUCUCGACUCACGUGAUGAUCGGACUGGAGAUAGUGGAUUUGGAUCAUGUACCACUCAAAUGACUAGAGAGAUGUACUUUUUGAGUGGGAGUUCUUAAGUAAUAUGAUUAAUUGAACUAAUUGUCAUGAACAUAGUCUAAUGGUCUUUGCGAAUUACGAUGUAGCUUGCGCUAUAGCUCUACUGUUUUUAUAUGUUCCUAGAGAAAAUUUAGUUGAAAGUUGAUAGUAGAAAACUUUGUAGACUGAGUCUGUAAAACUGAGGAUUGUCCUCGUUGCUGCGUAGAAGGCUUAUGUCCUUAAUGCACCACUCGGUGUGCUGCACCUCGAGCGUCGUCUGUAGAUGUUGUGAACAUCCGACAUACACGUUUCUGAUGACUACACGAUAGUUCAGUACAAAAUACUUAAUGGCUUAGAAGCAAGGCGCCGAAGACGUUUUGAAACGUCACAGAACAUAAGAGAUGUUCUAAAGAGAUGAAAUUGUGAUUUCAUGCUUGUGCCCUUGUUAAGAGGUAUGAGACCUCCGACAAGAUUAUUUGUCCACGAAGUAAAGGAGAAAAGCUCAAUCGUUGAGCGUGUGCUCAGAUUAUCUGAGUACGACAAUCGCUUGAAUCAAGUGGGAGUUGAUCUUCCAGAUAAGAUAGUGAUGGUUCUCCAAAGUCACUGCCACCAAGCUGUGAGAGCUUCGUGAUGAACUAUAACAUAUCAAGGAUAGAUACAAUGAUCCUUGAGCGAUUCGCGAUGUUUGACACUACGAAAGUAGAAAUCAAAAAGGAGCAUCAAUAGUUGAUGGUUAGUAAAACCACUAAGUUUCGAGAAAGGCAAGGGCUAGAAGGGAUACUUCGUGAAAUGGCAAAGCAGUUGCUGCACUAAUGAAGAGACCCGAGAUUAAACCCAAGCCCGGGACUAAGUUCUUUUGUUAUGAGGGGAACGGUCACUGAGGCGGAGCAACUCUAGAUACUUGGUAGAUAAGAAGGCUCGCAAAAGUCGAAAGAAGUAUAUUUGAUAUACAUGAUGUUGAUGUGUACUUUACUAGUACUCCUAGUAGCACGAGGGUAUUGGAUACCGGUUCGGUUGCUAAGUGAUUAGUAACACGAAAUGAAAGCUACGGCAUAAACGGAGACUAGCUAAAGGCGAGGUGACGAUACGUGUUGGAAGUGUUUCCAAGGUUGAUAUGAUCAAACAUCGCACACUCCCUCUACCAUCGGGAUUGGUGUUAAACCUAAAUAAUUGUUAUUUGGUGCUUGCGUUAAGCAUGAACAUGAUUGGAUCAUGUUUAUUGCAAUACGAUUAUUCAUUUAAAGAGAAUAAUGGCUACUCUAUUUGCUUGAAUAAUCACCUUCAAUGGUUUAUUGAAUCUCGAUCGUAGUGUUACACAUGUUCAUGAUAUUGGUGCCAAAAGAUACGAGGUAAUAAUGAUAGUACCACUUACUUGUGGCACUGUCGCUUGAGUCAUGUUCGUAUAAAUUGCAUGAAGAGGCUCCAUGCUGAUGGAUCUUUAUACUCACUUGAUUUUGAAUCACUGGUGACAUGCAAAUCAUACCACAUGAGCAAGGCCUUGUUUUCAUUGAGAUGAAACAAGAUAGUAACUUGUUGGAAGUGAUACUUUUUGAUGUAUGCAGUCCAAUGGGUGCUGAGGCAUGCAGUGGAUAUCAUUAUGUUCUUACUUCAAUGACGAUUUGAGUAGAUACAAGAGUAUUUACUUAAUGAAUCACAAGUCUGAAAUAUUGAAAAGUUCAAUUCUGUUUCAGGAGUGAAGUUCGUCGUAACAAGAGGAUAAACUGUCUACGAUAUGAUCAUAGAAAUGAAUAUCUGAGUUACGAGUUUUGGUACGCAGUUAAGACAAUGUGGAAAUUGUUUCGCAGUUCAUGCCACCUGGAACAUCAUAGUGUGAUGAUGUGUCUGAACGUCAUAGCCAUGCACUAUUUGGUAUGGUGCAUGCUAUGAUGUCUCUUAUCGAAUUAGCACUAUCGUUUAUGGGUUAUGCGUUAGAGACAACCGCAUUCACUUUAAAUAGGGCACCGCGUAUUUCCGUUGAGAUGACACAGUAUAGACUGAGGUUUAGAGAAAUCUAAACUGUCGUUUCUUGAAAGAUUGGGGCUUCGACACCUGUGUGAAAAAGUUUGAGUCGAAUAAGCUCAAACCCAAAGCGGAUAAAUGCAUCUUCAUAGGAUAUCCAAAACAGUUGGGUACAUCUCCUAUCUCAGAUCCGAAAGCAAAGUGUUUGUUUCUAGAAACGGAUCCUUUCUCGAGGAAAGGUUUCUCUCGAAAGAAUUGAGUGGGAGGGUGGUAGAACUUGAUGAGGUUAUUGAACCAUCACUUCAACCAGUGUGUAGCAGGGCACAGGAAGUUGUUCCCGUGGCGCCUACACCAAUUGAAGUGAAAGCUGAUGAUGGUGAUCAUCGAGCAUCGGAUCAAGUUACUACAAACCUCGUAGGUUGACAAGGUCGCGUACUACUGCAGAGUGGUACAGUAACCCUGUCUUGGAGGUCAUGUUGUUGAGCAACAGUGAACCUACGAGUUAUGGAGAAAGCAAUGGUGGGCCCGGAUUCCGACAAAUGGCUGGAAGCCAUGAAAUCCGAGAGAGGAUCCAUGUAUGAAAACAAAGUGUAGACUUUGGAAGAACUACUUGAUGGUCAUAGGACUAUUGAGUAAAUAUGGAUCUUUAAAAGGAAGACAGACGAUGAUGGUGAUAAGUCACUAUUAAGAAAAGCUCGACUUGUCGCAAAGAUGUUUCCGACAAGAUCAAACAGUUGACUAUGAUGAGACUUUCUCACUCGUAGCGAUGCUGAAAGUCUGUUAGAAUUAUGUUAGUAGUUGCUGCAUUAUUUAUGAAAUAUUGCACAUAGGAUGUCAAAACAUUGUUUCCUCGACGAUUUCCUUGAGCAAACAUUGUAUGUGAUACAACCAGGAGGUUUUGUCGAUCCUAAAGAUACUAGCAAGUAUGCAAGCUCCAGCGAUCCUUCAAUGGACUGGUGCAAGCAUCUCGGAGUUGGAAUAUACACUUUGAUGAGAUGAUCAAAGAUUUUGGGUUUGUACAAGGUUUAUGAGAAACUUGUAUUUCCAAAGAAGUGAGUGGGAGCACUAUAGAAUUUCUGAUAAGUAUAUGUGGUUGACAUAUUGUGGAUGAGAAGUAAUGUAGAAUUUCUGUAAAGCAUACAAGGUUGUUUGAAAGGAGUUUUCAAAGGAGUACCUGGAUUGCGCUACUUGAACGUUGAGCAUCAAAUAUCUAUGGAGAUAGAUCGAAAGCGCUUAAUGGAAGUUUCAACAAGAUGCAUGCCUUGACAAGUUUUUGAAGGAGUUCAAAAUAGAUCAGCAAAGAAGGAGUUCUUGGUUGCGUUGUGAGGUGUGAAUUUGAGUAAGACUCAAAACCCGACCCCGGCAGAAUAAAGAGAAUAGACGAAGGUCGUCUUCUAUGCCUUGGCCGUAGAAUCUGAAGUAUGCCAUGCUGGGUACCGCACCUGAUGUGUGCCUUGACUCAAAGUCUGUUGAGAGGUACAGAGAGUGAUCCAUGAUUGAAUCACUAGCAGCGGUCAAAAUUUAUCCUUAGUAACUGAUGGACUAAGGAAUUUUUCUCGAUUAUGGAGGUGGUUAAAGAGUUCGUCGUAAAGGUUUACGUCGAUGCAAGCUUUGACACUAAUCCGAAUAACUAUGAGUAGUGAAACGGAUUCGUAUAGUAGAGUAGAUAUUUGGAGUAUUUCCGAAUAGCACAUAGUAGCAGGAUCUAUAAGAUGACAUAAAGAUUUGUAAAGAACACACGGAUCUGAAAGUUUCAGAACCGUUGACUAAAACCUCUCUCACGAGCAAGACGUGAUCAGACCCCAUAACUAUAUGGGUGUUGGAUUCGUUGGAAUCACAUGGUGAUGUGAACUAGAUUAUUGACUCUAGUGCAAGUGGGAGACUGUUGGAAAUAUGCCCUAGAGGCAAUAAUAAAUUAGUUAUUAUUAUAUUUCUUUGUUCAUGAUAAUCGUUUAUUAUCCAUGCUAUAAUUGUAUUGAUUGGAAACACAGUGCAUGUGUGGAUACAUAGACAAAACACUGUCCCUAGUAAGCCUCUAGUUGACUAGCUCGUUGAUCAAAGAUGGUCAAGGUUUCCUGACCAUAGGCAAGUGUUGUCACUUGAUAACGGGAUCACAUCAUUAGGAGAAUCAUGUGAUGGACUAGACCCAAACUAAUAGACGUAGCAUGUUGAUCGUGUCAUUUUGUUGCUAUUGUUUUCUGCGUGUCAAGUAUUUGUUCCUAUGACCAUGAGAUCAUAUAACUCACUGACACUGAAGGAAUGCUUUGUGUGUAUCAAACGCCGCAACGUAACUGGGUGACUAUAAAGAUGCUCUACAGGUAUCUCCGAAGGUGUUCGUUGAGUUAGUAUGGAUCGAGACUGGGAUUUGUCACUCCGUGNNNNNNNNNNNNNNNNNNNNNNNNNNNNNNNNNNNNNNNNNNNNNNNNNNNNNNNNNNNNNNNNNNNNNNNNNNNNNNNNNNNNNNNNNNNNNNNNNNNNAUCUAGUGCCGAACAACGGCACCUCCGCGUUCAACACACGUGCAGCCCGGUGACGUCUCCCGCACCUUGAUCCAGCAAGGAGGAGGGAGAGGUUGGGGAAGAAGUCCAGCAACACGACAGCAUGGUGUCGGUGGAGACACGAGGUCUCCCGGCAGGNNNNNNNNNNNNNNNNNNNNNNNNNNNNNNNNNNNNNNNNNNNNNNNNNNNNNNNNNNNNNNNNNNNNNNNNNNNNNNNNNNNNNNNNNNNNNNNNNNNNNNNNNNNNNNNNNNNNNNNNNNNNNNNNNNNNNNNNNNNNNNNNNNNNNNNNNNNNNNNNNNNNNNNNNNNNNNNNNNNNNNNNNNNNNNNNNNNNNNNNNNNNNNNNNNNNNNNNNNNNNNNNNNNNNNNNNNNNNNNNNNNNNNNNNNNNNNNNNNNNNNNNNNNNNNNNNNNNNNNNNNNNNNNNNNNNNNNNNNNNNNNNNNNNNNNNNNNNNNNNNNNNNNNNNNNNNNNNNNNNNNNNNNNNNNNNNNNNNNNNNNNNNNNNNNNNNNNNNNNNNNNNNNNNNNNNNNNNNGGGGCGGCGGCCAGGGCACAGAGGAGGGGUGGCGCACCCCUCUGGUGGGCCUUAGGCCCACCUAUGCUAGGGUUCCCCCCUCCCCCCUUUCUCUGGUGCGCAUGGGCUGGGUGGGGGCGCACCAGCCCACUUAGGGGCUGGUUCCCUUCCCCACUUAGCCCAUCUAGCCUCCCGGGGUCGUUGCCCCCCUUCGGUGGUCCCAGCACGUUACCGAUGACGCCCGAAACACUUCCGGUGUCCAAAACCAUCCGUCCUAUAUAUCAAUCUUUACCUCCGGACCAUUCCGAAGCUCCUCGUGACGUCCGGGAUCUCAUCCGGGACUCCGAACAACUUUCGGUAACCUCGUACAACAAUUCCCUAUAACCCGAGCGUCAUCGAACCCUAAGUGUGUAGACCCUACGGGUUCGGGAGACAGGCAGACAUGACCGAGACACCUCUCUGGCCAAUAACCAUCAGCGGGUUCUGGAUACCCAUGGUGGCUCCCACUAGCUCCACGAUGAUCUCAUCGGAUGAACCACGAUGUCAAGGAUUCAAUCAAUCCCGUAUACGAUUCCCUUUGUCUGUCGGUAUAGAACUUGCCCGAGAUUCGAUCGUCGGUAUACCUAUACCUUGUUCAAUCUCGUUACCGGUAAGUCUCUUUACUCGUUCCAUAGCACGUCAUCGUGUGACCAACUCUUUAGUCACAUUGAGCUCAUGAUGAUGUUCUACCGAGUGGGCCCAGAGAUACCUCUCCGUCACACGGAGUGACAAAUCCCGAUCUCGAUUCGUGCCAACCCAACAGANNNNNNNNNNNNNNNNNNNNNNNNNNNNNNNNNNNNNNNNNNNNNNNNNNNNNNNNNNNNNNNNNNNNNNNNNNNNNNNNNNNNNNNNNNNNNNNNNNNNCUAGCGCCAAGGAAGGACUUUUGUUACCGUAGCAACCGACAUUGUCGAGCCGGCCCAGUACGCCCAUCCCGCCCAACAUCAGGUCAGGAGACACCAUGUUUUCGUUGGCUUCACGCAAGGAACCUCCCUACCAGAUGAGCCGGUAAUCCAGGAGAUCACCCCCGUCAACUCGGACGACGAGUCGUCCAUGGGCGAUACAUAUUCAAUCUACCCUGUUCACGAAGGGUAUCUCGGAGGGUUGCCGGAGGCAGUAUUCUUUGAGGAUGUUGUGGGUCCACACCGUCAAGUCACCAUCUAUAUGGCAGGGGCAGCGCCGCCUCAGCCAAACGCGGCAAGUGACAAUGGAGCUAGCGGAUCAGGGAGGGCUCCAGCUCAGGCCAUGGCAGAUCUGGCAGUGGAGACGGCAAAACUCGUGGCAAUCACUGUGACGGGGGAGAACCAGGAGACGGUCAACGCCGAGCUAACGAAAUUAAGGGAGGAGAUGGCCAAGAUCCAGCGCGACAUAGAAGAAGAAGUCGCCAGGAUGACGACACAGCAUGCCCAGAUCGCCGUGGAGACAGCGGCUGAACACUGAGGGAUGGCGGCUUGAGCAACAACAGCGUGCCUUUUAUGCGAUCCACCAGAGGAGGCAUCGCGGCCGCAUGCCGGCUGAUUUAAACCCAACUCGACUCUUCGACAGCCCGCAUACCCCUAGGAUGGAGCCCAAUCGGCCCUGGCAGGCCGCCCCAGGAGGCGAGCCGGCUCGGCCACCUCUUAACCCUCAGCCACCUCAGCCGAUGGAGGUUCAUGCACCCCGUUUCCAAACACCGCGGGGUCACUUCUCGAACCCCGUCGACAACAUGCUAGCAGCGACCCGCCGCCUUGAAUCCCUCCCCUUUCACGGAAACUCCCCCUCCGAAGUGGAGACAAGAAACGACAUCGAGAUGCUGAAGACUACGGUGGUGCAACAAGCGCAAUAUUCAUAUAGCCGCGAGCGGCUACACUCCACGCCCCAGGCGAGUCACACCAGGAGUCGCCAUGAUGACCCGCCCGCAGUGACCAGCGAGCAACGGCGUUUGCCGCCCAUCAAUCCGCCCGGGAUGCCCGACACACGGGCUCGGGAUCUUGUGGAUGCGGCACGAGCUGCCCGCAUGAUGGAAACAGCAGCCGCGGCGGGCCAGGGCUAUCCGUCUUACACCUUGCCUUCUCCAGCACCGGCCGAAAUAGGUGGCAGGCAUGUCGGGGUGCCUUGUCUAGCACUCGCCCUUCGCAACGAGCGUAUGCCAAAGGAUUUCAAAGGCCCACGGAAGGUACCCAAUUACACACCGGACCUCGAGCUAGGUGCAUGGGUCGAGAGUUACAAGCUCACGAUGGAUAUGCUCGAUGUGAGUAAGGCAGUCUGCGCUAAGUAUUUCACCAUGAUGCUUGAAGGAACAACACACACGUGGCUAAAGAACCUGCCGCCCAACUCCAUCAACACCUGGGCCGAGUUGAAAGAAUGCUUCGUAAAAAAAAUCAGAGGAACUUGCAAGCGCCCGAUGACCAUCAUCGACCUACAGCACUGUGUCCAGCGUCCGGAUGAGUCGGCCCAUCAUUGGACACGGUGAUUUGCAGAAGUGAUCCAUUCAUCGGAUGGUAUCUCGGCGUCUUAGGCCAUGCUAAUCCUGGAGAAAAAUUGUCACUACGAGCCUUUGGUGCUGAAGCUUGGGCGACUCAAGCGUAAGGUGCAGGACAUGGGAGAAUUGAUGGACACCCUGACCAGGUAUGCCGAGUCAAGCGACACUAAAGAUCCCGGGGAGGAUGAUGACAAAGUCAGCACUGCCAGGAGAGGCGAGUCGUCAAAAGGCCACCCUCAGUUCCAAGGGCGAGGUAACCACAACCCCGCGGGACAAGGUAAGAGGAGGCAGCAGGAAGGCAUCAUGGAUUUCGUCUCUAACACUAAUGCUGGCAACGGAAACCACCGACAGAAGAAAAGGGGCUUCAGCAGGAAGAAACCACGCAACUAUCACGAGAUGCUCAAAGGCCCUUGCCCAUAACACGCCACCGCGGAAGGUCCGUCCACCCACUCUUGGGAGGAUUGUUAUGUGAUGCAGGAGUUCCGCGCUGAGGCGCUCAGAAAUGGUCACGGGGGUAACCCAGGUGGACAUCAGGAACAAUUUGACACGACCGGGUCACACCGAAACCCGUUUGGUGGAUUUCCCAACCCAGGCUCGCAGGGCGGGUCGCAGAAUAAUGCUGGACAAUACCAGGUUCAGGACAGUCAGCGGUACAAUACGCGUGGGGUGUUUCAGCAACCACCUCCGCAAGGUGACCCCCAGCGGCAGGAUGACAAUGGCGGCUUCCAGAAUAAUCCUAAACAGCUAAAUAGCGGACAAUAUCAUGUGUUCACCACCAGCACUUGCAAAAGGGACUGUAAGGAGAAACACAGAACUUUCAGUGUGGUUGAGCCGGUGCUUCCCGGGUACCUCAAUUGGUCUGAGCAGCCCAUUGUCUGGAGUAGGGAGGAUCACCCGCCCCGGGUUGAUAAUCCUAGCGAUUUACCUUUGGUCGUGGCCCCCCAGGUUGGGGGCUAAACCCUUUCCAAGGUCCUCAUGGAUGGCGGGAGCAGCAUCAAUAUAUUAUAUUUCGACACCUUUCGGCGGAUGAAUUUCUGAGAGGGUGAUUUAAUGCCAUCCUCCACUGUCUUCCACGACAAUGUUCUCGGUAAGUCGGCAUACCCUGUUGGACG